This 1771-nucleotide long non-coding RNA is filed under the name Anas platyrhynchos platyrhynchos (common mallard). RNAcentral describes it as "lncRNA (ENSAPLG00000026546.1)". The record is from RNAcentral. Lineage: Eukaryota; Metazoa; Chordata; Aves; Anseriformes; Anatidae.
AUGAAAGGAGCUCGGGGAGGGGGGGGGAAGGAUGAAAAGGAGGAAGGGAUGAGGGGAAGAAAGGAUGCUUUGCCCUGGCCUCACCUCAGCUCGGUGGGUGGGGGUGGGAGAACCUCUCGCCGCCUCCUCUUCCUCCUCCUCCUCCUCCACCACCACCACCUUCUCCUCCUCCUACUUCUCCACCUCCUCCCCAGCAGCGACGGUCACCGGCGGGCUGGGUGCGCGGCUCCGGCUCCCUCACACGGCCCCCGCCUCCCGUUCGGCUCCGGGGAGGACCCGGGAGCCGCCGCCGGCCUCCCCGCGGCAGCCACUCGGGGUGGAGGCUGCGCGCCUGCGCCUCUCCUCUGCUGCCUCCAGCGGGAGGCCGCGCCGGGCUCCGCCGCUCGGGGGGCGCCGGGGCUGUGGAAGUCCAAGAUGAUUCAUCUCUCCAUUUACACCUGCAAAAUGCACAAGAGACUUAUAACUAAGACAUCGCCUGAAGAAAGUUAAUAAGUGCUGGUGAAGUGUGAUGAUGAUGUACACUGGUUCUUCGCUCUGCCUCCAUAUGAAACUCCCUCCAUCACAUUACAGGAACACCAGGGAGCCUCUGAUGAUGGGGAGGCUGCCAGGUUGCUGCCCACAAGGCAAGAUUUUGCAGGAACAAAGGAACAGCACGAUCUGGUCUGGCCAUAAUGAAGCACCUCAUGCUAAUAUUGGUGGUAAAAAGGGAAGGAGUGAGCAAAGGUUGUUAUCACAAGAUCCUCCGUUUGUUCAGUUAACAUCUUAAUUGGCGUACCUUUUAUUAGUUGCAGGGGAUUAUAAAGAUGUAAAUUACAAGGCAGUUGAGUUAUAGCUGCAUGGAUGUCAGGUCUGAGCUGAAAUUAUAACAUCUAGAGCAUAUAUGCUUUAAUACUACCAUGUUAUUAUGCAUCUCGCUUCUCCCACCCAGUUUUCUGUAAUGUUAUAUGCAAACAGUAUGUUUGUGAAAGAACAUUUUCUUAGUAAGUGAACGUUUAGGUAUUCCAAUACACUCGAAUAUGCCGAAGACAUUUUAUAACAAUCUUUCCUUUUCUUUAUAAGGUGACAGCAGAUAUCACUUGAAAAAUUGCCUAAUCUCUCUCUGUUUUAUCUCCAGAUUCUCUCUGAGUACUGUAUCAUUAUAAAUUAUAAUGAAACUCAAAAAGUGACCAGAAUAGUAAUUGAAAGAACAUUUGGCAUCUUAAAAAUGAGAGUUAGAUGCUUAGAUAAAUGUGGUAGAACAGAACUAAACUGCCCUUCAAGAAAGUUCAGAGUAGUUCUCGCUCGUGUAUGUUAUGUAAUACAGCCAUUAAAUAUGGUUCAUUUGUGAAGAUGAAAAGGAAGCAAUUUAAUGAGUCUAUCCAAAUUACUGAGGUAAAUGAUCCUAAUGAUGUACACUUGGAAAAUUAUCUCACGAUAGGGUAGUGGAAAUUAAAAAUAAGAUGCUAGCUAUCUGGAACCGAAAUGUAAACUAAAGUAAAACUGAAAGCCUUUCUUCUGAAACAGAGCAGUAGUAACAGAGUGCUUAAACUUGGGACUGCAGCACAGGAGAAGAAGAUGCUGUUUCUGGCCAUAAUGCAGACCUCCUGCACAUUGACUCAUAUAUGCCUUCUGAACCUUCCUAUCUUUACAAUUCAACCUAGAGCCAUCUUAGUGUCAGCCAAAUACGAGUUACAAAUAUAGUCUUCCUAGCACUAAAGGAAAGCAGACUACAGACCAGUAGACCACAGAUUCAGGUAAUAAAUGGAUUCUCUUUUCUUUAUUCCUCUUGUCA